This 477-nucleotide ribosomal RNA is filed under the name Veillonella parvula. RNAcentral's name for it is "bacterial SSU rRNA". It matches the Rfam family "Bacterial small subunit ribosomal RNA", at positions 28 to 472 of the family's 1533-position model. The record is from RNAcentral. Lineage: Bacteria; Bacillati; Bacillota; Negativicutes; Veillonellales; Veillonellaceae.
GACGAACGCUGGCGGCGUGCUUAACACAUGCAAGUCGAACGAAGAGCGACGGAAGCUUGCUUCUAUCAAUCUUAGUGGCGAACGGGUGAGUAACGCGUAAUCAACCUGCCCUUCAGAGGGGGGACAACAGUUGGAAACGACUGCUAAUACCGCAUACGAUCUAAUCUCGGCAUCGAGGAUAGAUGAAAGGUGGCCUCUACAUGUAAGCUAUCACUGAAGGAAGGGGAUUGCGUCUGAUUAGCUAGUUGGAGGGGUAACGGCCCACCAAGGCGAUGAUCAGUAGCCGGUCUGAGAGGAUGAACGGCCACAUUGGGACUGAGACACGGCCCAGACUCCUACGGGAGGCAGCAGUGGGGAAUCUUCCGCAAUGGACGAAAGUCUGACGGAGCAACGCCGCGUGAGUGAUGACCGGCUUCGGGUUGUAAAGCUCUGUUAAUCGGGACGAAAGGCCUUCUUGCAAAUAGUGAGAAGGAUAGA